This 255-nucleotide ribosomal RNA is filed under the name uncultured bacterium. RNAcentral describes it as "partial 16S ribosomal RNA". It matches the Rfam family "Bacterial small subunit ribosomal RNA", at positions 99 to 354 of the family's 1533-position model. The record is from RNAcentral.
CGGACGGGUGAGUAACGCGUGGAAAACCUGCCGUAUACUGGGGGAUAACACUUAGAAAUAGGUGCUAAUACCGCAUAAGCGCACAGCUUCGCAUGAAGCGGUGUGAAAAACUCUGGUGGUAUACGAUGGUUCCGCGUCUGAUUAGCUAGUUGGUGGGGUAAUGGCCUACCAAGGCAACAAUCAGUAGCCGGCCUGAGAGGGUGAACGGCCACAUUGGGACUGAGACACGGCCCAAACUCCUACGGAAGGCAGCAG